UGGGGAAUCUUGGACAAUGGGCGCAAGCCUGAUCCAGCCAUGCCGCGUGAGUGAAGAAGGCCUUAGGGUUGUAAAGCUCUUUUACCAGGGACGAUAAUGACGGUACCUGGAGAAUAAGCCCCGGCAAACUUCGUGCCAGCAGCCGCGGUAAUACGAAGGGGGCUAGCGUUGUUCGGAAUUACUGGGCGUAAAGCGCACGUAGGCGGGUCGUUAAGUCAGGGGUGAAAUCCCGGAGCUCAACUCCGGAACUGCCUUUGAUACUGGCGAUCUAGAGAUCGAGAGAGGUGAGUGGAAUUCCGAGUGUAGAGGUGAAAUUCGUAGAUAUUCGGAAGAACACCAGUGGCGAAGGCGGCUCACUGGCUCGAUACUGACGCUGAGGUGCGAAAGCGUGGGGAGCAAACAGG
This 404-nucleotide ribosomal RNA is filed under the name uncultured bacterium. Its description in RNAcentral is "bacterial SSU rRNA". It matches the Rfam family "Bacterial small subunit ribosomal RNA", at positions 355 to 776 of the family's 1533-position model. The record is from RNAcentral. RNAcentral also lists the same sequence under 2 other names.